AAGGUAUUUUGCUAAGUAUAGGCUUAUUAUUCUUUAUUUUAGGGAUUAUUUGUUACUUUUUUAUGGGGUCUCUUUAUACACUGUGUGAAGAUUUGCCCUCAGUGUGUGGCUACUUUAGUGGACCUCCUAUCAGGAUAGAGGAGUGUGCAUACUUUUGUGACCACCUCUGUUUGAUCUAAUAUGCGGGUUUCAUCUAUUCCUUGUUUCUGUUUAUUAUACAUUCCAUGUACUGCCUCUCUUUGCCAUGUUUUUGGAGGAGCUGGUGAGCUUAUCCAAUUAGUCCAUACACUCCUAAUUGGAUUUUUAUGUGUUUUAAUUAUAUCACUGUGUUUUAAUACAUUUAGCAAUUUCACAAUUAAUUGAUUAUGUGUAAAUAUAAAUGUUAACUUUUUCAUGUGGUGUUAGCUUGACAAAGACCUGGGUACAGGUCGAAACGUUACGUUAAAGCCGCUUAACGUAUCCCAGUGAGUGCCUGAGAUUUUUUCCUGGUCUUUGUCGAAAGGCAGAAAAAAUGCUUAUUACCACUACACUUGGUACCAGCUAGCGGAAACAUGAUUUCAGGCCAAGUUUCAAAAUAUGUGGAGAGCAAAAAACAGGGUGCAAGAGAAUACUGAGAACGGGCAGCAACUGAAAUAGCUUGCCCUUCGGUGGGUCCCUGCUUAGAUCUCAAACUGGUUUUAGCUCAUAUUGUGCCAUUACAGAGAGAACAUCUCUGAAACAUAUCAGACUGAUCCCACCCAUACGGGCAGUCCAGAUCGGAAAUGCCAGCAAGUUCCCUCUGCACGAGAGAUACAGCAACCCCAGACGAUCAUUUCAGCCUUGUUAGGCAUCAUCAGUAAGGCAUAGCUGAUAUGUCUCUAAGCACCGUGAGCAAGGGGUACAAAGCGGUAGCACACAUAAGGUUUGCAAAAUAUACAGUGCAAACUUACUUUGUGUGUCAAAAAGGCAGAAACAAUGCUUAUUACCACUACACUUGGUACAAGCUAGCAGAAGAAUGAUCCC
Pelobates cultripes (western spadefoot toad) is the source of this 1002-nucleotide non-coding RNA. Lineage: Eukaryota; Metazoa; Chordata; Amphibia; Anura; Pelobatidae. The record is from the annotation of a GenBank genome assembly.